GUGGUGGGAAAAAGUACACCCAAGGUCCCUCAACUUGUCAUCGGGAUAAAAAACGUCUUCGAACCGCAAAACCAGAUAUGCGAGGUUCCUUAACUAUACAAAACCGGUCACAAUAGGUCCCUUGGCGGUUUUGAUCCCGAUUU
RNAcentral lists this unclassified non-coding RNA (143 nucleotides) under Oryza sativa (Asian cultivated rice). RNAcentral describes it as "partial microRNA MIR458f precursor". Lineage: Eukaryota; Viridiplantae; Streptophyta; Magnoliopsida; Poales; Poaceae. The record is from RNAcentral.